GACGAACGCUGGCGGCGUGCUUAACACAUGCAAGUCGAACGGUGAUGCUCCAGCUUGCUGGCGUGGAUCAGUGGCGAACGGGUGAGUAACACGUGAGCAACCUGCCCCAGACUCUGGAAUAAGCGCUGGAAACGGCGUCUAAUACUGGAUACGAAACUGGCCCGCAUGGGCAUGGUUUGGAAAGUUUUUCGGUUUGGGAUGGGCUCGCGGCCUAUCAGCUUGUUGGUGAGGUAAUGGCUCACCAAGGCGACGACGGGUAGCCGGCCUGAGAGGGCGACCGGCCACACUGGGACUGAGACACGGCCCAGACUCCUACGGGAGGCAGCAGUGGGGAAUAUUGCACAAUGGGCGAAAGCCUGAUGUAGCGACGCCGCGUGAGGGAUGACGGCCUUCGGGUUGUAAACCUCUUUCAGCAGGGAAGAAGCGAAAGUGACGGUACCUGCAGAAGAAGCACCGGCUAACUACGUG
RNAcentral lists this ribosomal RNA (468 nucleotides) under uncultured bacterium. RNAcentral's name for it is "partial 16S ribosomal RNA". It matches the Rfam family "Bacterial small subunit ribosomal RNA", at positions 28 to 507 of the family's 1533-position model. The record is from RNAcentral.